UAGAGUGUAUGAUGACGAGGCUUUAU
Molecule: non-coding RNA, 26 nt
Filed under: Mus musculus (house mouse)
Lineage: Eukaryota; Metazoa; Chordata; Mammalia; Rodentia; Muridae
Source: RNAcentral